Molecule: ribosomal RNA, 253 nt
Filed under: uncultured bacterium
Lineage: Bacteria
Description: partial 16S ribosomal RNA
Rfam family: Bacterial small subunit ribosomal RNA
Source: RNAcentral
UACGGAGGGUGCAAGCGUUAUCCGGAUUCACUGGGCUUAAAGGGCGCGUAGGCGGGCAGGCAAGUCAGUGGUGAAAUCUCCGGGCUUAACCCGGAAACUGCCAUUGAUACUAUCAGUCUUGAAUACCGUGGAGGUAAGCGGAAUAUGUCAUGUAGCGGUGAAAUGCUUAGAUAUGACAUAGAACACCAAUUGCGAAGGCAGCUUACUGGACGAAUAUUGACACUGAGGCACGAAAGCGUGGGGAUCAAACAGG